Molecule: long non-coding RNA, 674 nt
Filed under: Fragaria vesca (wild strawberry)
Lineage: Eukaryota; Viridiplantae; Streptophyta; Magnoliopsida; Rosales; Rosaceae
Description: long non-coding RNA (FVES_LNC002412)
Source: RNAcentral
CAAGAAUAUUGUUGGUCUUUUAAAUUUCUCCAUGCUUCUGUAAGUUGCAGCAGCCGCAGAGCACUCCAAGCACAAUCACUCUCAGAUCUCAUCUUCCUCAGGUAAAACCCAUCUCCCUCUCCCUCACAAUCACCCAAAGGUUUAAGCUUUUCAAUUAUUAGUGUUCAUUUGCCAAUAUAAUUCCCAGCUUUAGUAUUUUUUCCAGAUUCUGUACUUACUCCAAACCGUCACUGUAUACCAGCAUUGAUACCUCUUUGUUCUCAAUUUAGCAGUUAUGUACUUACUUUUGUUCUCAAUCAAUGGGAGCUUUUUUUUCUGUUCACGUCUCCUAUGCAUUUCAAUUUCCAGUUGAUAAUGUCAUUCAGAAGUGAGAAAUUUUUAAGAUGACAGGUGUGGAACACAUGCAUACCUUGAUUGGUUGUGGAACACGUGCAUAGCUGCUUUCUUUGCUUUUACACAGUAGUAUGCAUGUUUGAUGAAAUUUACUUUGAAUACAGAGUAUACAAUACUUAAAGAACUUGAACUUUGCUCUCAUGCCCCCAAAAGGAUCAAUACGGCUUUGAUUACAACAAUAAAUUUGUAAAGUGAAUAUAAGUUGCAUGUGAUUCCUCUGCGUUUUCUUAUUGAUAGAGAGUGAGAGAUGAAACUUGAUUUUGUAGCUUUGUUGUAUGCAG